GAAAGGUCCUCCCUUUGGUGAUUUGAGGGCCGUCUGGGUGCCGGCCCUUGAGGGGGGGUCUAGGGCGGGGGCCCGAGCCAGCGACUCCGGCUUCCUGUGUCCCCCAGCCAUCGUCUCCAGAGGUGUUCCGUGUCCCCCAGCCGUCGACUCCGGAGGUGUUAUCUGUCCCCCAGCCGUCGACUCUGGAGGUGUUCCGUGCUUCCCAGCCGACCAUUCCAGAGACGUUCAGUGCCCUGCAGUCGGCGCUCUGGAGCUGGCCAACUGACUGUCCGCCGGGCCGACCCCCGGAGUCUCCCCGGCCGUUUGCCGGGCCAACCCCCAGAAGCUCCCCGGCCACUUGACCGCCCGCCGGGCCGCCCGCCACAGUUCCCCAGGCGGCCCACCAUCGUCUGGUUUCCCUCCCUCCCGCCCCUUGUCUGUUCCUGGUCUGGUUAGGGCCAUCUGGAAUUUGGCCCUUGAGGGGGGAAUUCUGUCACGGUUUUGGUUCAUGUCUGGUUUUAUUUUGUUGUUUCUUGCCUCUGUUCUCCCUGGGUCAUGUUACUUCCUUCCUUGUUCUGUCCUCCUUUGUGAUUGUCUGACACGUCAUGAUUGUUUCCACCUGCGUCCAAUCACCUGCACCUCCCUAGUUUAUUUAAACCAUGUGGGUCUGUUGUCACGUGUCGCAUCAUUGUUAGUUGUUGAAUGUACAGAAGUCCAUGUUCCUGUUUCCUGUCUCCUGUUCCCUGACCUCGUUCAUGCCUUUUUGGAGUUUGAGUUUUUUUGACUAUUAAAGUCCCUUUUUGUUUUCAAAGAAACUCUGCGUCGGAGUCCUACCUUUGCCUUCAACGAACCCGUUCUGACAGGUCCAGAAGCUUUGCAGAACACAUGUUAAUGGAAGUGUCGGCCAGAAACCUCAGGAAUAUCUGCAACAAGUCACUCCAGCAAGUACAGAUGUUACUGGGAUGCGAACAGCAGUCCUCCGUGGCCUUCCUGUCAUCCUUGGUGUUACGCACUCCUCUAAAGAGAGGAUACCGUAGCACGCAGUCACGUGAGCUGGCCACAAGAGCAAGGCUGGACAUCAGCAGCAGUGGGACCCCAGGCCUGGGGAACUCACCGGCCCCCUGCUCGCCACAACACGCCCCGAAGCGCUGACAUUGCACGAAGCAGACAAGAAGACUCUGUAUUUUAACUGUGUGAAGAGCAUAAACCGGUCCGGACUGUGCGACAGGCUCCCCACUGUGUGCUCCAACAGACUGGGACAAAAUGGACCGGGCCCACAGUGGAGGAUUUUAUACAAACCUCCCCCCAAGAAACGGACUGCCAACCUCCAGUGGAGAAUUUUACACGGUGCUGUCGCCUCCAACGCUUUUAUUUCUGCUAUUAAUCCCUCUGUUCUUAGCCGGUGCCCCUUCUGUGACCUCCGAGAGACUAUUUAUCAUGUUUUUACAGAGUGCAAGAGACUUGCGAGUUUCUUCUCUGUUAACAUCGGUUUUUAGUCUUUUUAAUGUGGUUUUUACAGAAAAGAUUUUUAUAGGAGCUGCCUACAAGAACGCAGAAUAAUAAAAAUGGCAGCUCCUCAACUAUCUUUCAGAGGGGAAGCCAAAAUGGCCAUUUAUCUAAGCAGGAAGGCCAGAGUGAAGGGCAGAGAGGGGCAGGAGGCCAGAGCAGUGUGGCUGGUGAACGUCAGGUUCAGGCUCUGGCUAGAGUUCCGCUUUUAUAAACACAUUGGAGACGUAGACACUUUUAAACAACGUUGGUGUUUUAAUGAUGUUGUGUGCUCAGUUGAAAAAAAUGAAUUGGUGUUUGCUCCUGUUUUUAUGGCAUAUGUUUUUUAAAAACAAAGCAAGGAAACCUGUGACUUUUAACACAUUAGCAAAGUUUUGAAUAUGUAAAAUAACUAGUUUUUUUUUUUAAUCCCAAAAAAAAGAUCUCUCUGUCUCUCUCUCUCUCGGCAUCAUGACUGGCACUACCAGGUGAAACCCCUUACCGAGCGGGCCUGGAAGCCAGGGAGGUGUGCAACUUAGUGUGUGUGUGUGUGUGCUGGUAAUUAUUUGCUUCUACUGUUGGACAGUAUGAUUUUGAGCUUGAACCUGAUAAGGAGGGUUUUGUGACAUAAAUCUCUCUUUUGUGUAAAAAUUCCUUCUUUUAUAGUUUAUUUUCAUUUGUUAUUCCCCGACUUCCCUAGACAUCAGUUGAGGGACGUAACAUUCACUUACAUCCUUUUUGAUAUUUAGGUUCUUAUAUAUUUUGUUUCAAAAAAAUGC
Molecule: long non-coding RNA, 2243 nt
Organism: Gasterosteus aculeatus aculeatus (three-spined stickleback)
Lineage: Eukaryota; Metazoa; Chordata; Actinopteri; Perciformes; Gasterosteidae
Source: Ensembl